GACGAACGCUGGCGGCGUGCCUAAUACAUGCAAGUAGAACGCUGAAGAGAGGAGCUUGCUCUUCUUGGAUGAGUUGCGAACGGGUGAGUAACGCGUAGGUAACCUGCCUUGUAGCGGGGGAUAACUAUUGGAAACGAUAGCUAAUACCGCAUAACAAUGGAUGACACAUGUCAUUUAUUUGAAAGGGGCAAUUGCUCCACUACAAGAUGGACCUGCGUUGUAUUAGCUAGUAGGUGAGGUAAUGGCUCACCUAGGCGACGAUACAUAGCCGACCUGAGAGGGUGAGUGGCCACACUUGGACUGAGACACGGCCCAGACUCCUUCGGGAGGGAGCAGUAGGGGAACUUCGGCAAUGGGGGCAACCCUGACCGGGCAACGCCGGGGGAGUGAAGGAGGGUCUCGGGUCGCAAAGAUCUGUUGUAAGUCAAGAACGGGUGUGGGAGUGGAAAGUUCACACUGUGACGGUAGCUUACCAGAAAGGGACGGCUAACUACGUG
This 497-nucleotide ribosomal RNA is filed under the name uncultured bacterium. RNAcentral describes it as "partial 16S ribosomal RNA". It matches the Rfam family "Bacterial small subunit ribosomal RNA", at positions 28 to 507 of the family's 1533-position model. The record is from RNAcentral.